UGGGCAACCUGCCCCAGACACAGGGAUAACCCCGGGAAACCGGGGCUAAUACCGGAUACUCCGGUCGAACCGCAUGGCUCGAUCGGGAAAGCUCCGACGGUCUGGGAUGGGCCGCGGCCUAUCAGCUUGUUGGUGGGGUAACGGCCUACCAAGGCGACGACGGGUAGCCGGCCUGAGAGGGCGACCGGCCACACUGGGACUGAGACACGGCCCAGACUCCUACGGGAG
Molecule: ribosomal RNA, 228 nt
Filed under: uncultured bacterium
Lineage: Bacteria
Description: partial 16S ribosomal RNA
Rfam family: Bacterial small subunit ribosomal RNA
Source: RNAcentral